Molecule: ribosomal RNA, 464 nt
Filed under: uncultured bacterium
Lineage: Bacteria
Description: partial 16S ribosomal RNA
Rfam family: Bacterial small subunit ribosomal RNA
Source: RNAcentral
CUACGGGGCGCAGCAGUAGGGAAUUUUCCACAAUGGGCGAAAGCCUGAUGGAGCAACGCCGCGUGAGGGAUGAAGGUUUUCGGAUCGUAAACCUCUUUGAUUGGGGAAGAACGCCGAUCGGUUAAUAACUGCUCGGUCUGACGGUACCCAAAAAACAAGUCACGGCUAACUCUGUGCCAGCAGCCGCGGUAAUACAGAGGUGACGAACGUUGUCCGGAAUCACUGGGCGUAAAGGGCAUGUAGGCGGUUGGAUAAGUCAGAUGUGAAAGCUCCGAGCUUAACUCGGGAACUGCAUUUGAAACUGUCCAACUUGAGUUCGGUAGAGGAGGGCGGAAUUCCUGGUGUAGCGGUGAAAUGCGUAGAUAUCAGGAGGAACACCCGUGGCGAAGGCGGCUCUCUGGUCCGACACUGACGCUGAAAUGCGAAAGCUAGGGUAGCAAACAGGAUUAGAUACCCGAGUAGUC